UACGUAGGGACCAAGCGUUGUUCGGAUUUACUGGGCGUAAAGGGCGCGUAGGCGGCAAUUCAAGUCAUCUGUGAAAUCUCCGGGCUUAACUCGGAACGGUCAGAUGAUACUGCUUUGCUAGAGUGCAGAAGGGGCAAUCGGAAUUCUUGGUGUAGCGGUGAAAUGCGUAGAUAUCAAGAGGAACACCUGAGGUGAAGACGGGUUGCUGGGCUGACACUGACGCUGAGGCGCGAAAGCCAGGGGAGCAAACGGGAUUAGAAACCCGGUAGUCC
Molecule: ribosomal RNA, 272 nt
Filed under: uncultured prokaryote
Description: partial 16S ribosomal RNA
Rfam family: Bacterial small subunit ribosomal RNA
Source: RNAcentral